RNAcentral lists this ribosomal RNA (1455 nucleotides) under human oral metagenome. RNAcentral describes it as "bacterial LSU rRNA". It matches the Rfam family "Bacterial large subunit ribosomal RNA", at positions 1134 to 2421 of the family's 2925-position model. The record is from RNAcentral.
GUAAUAGCUCACUGGUCAAGUGGUUCUGCGCCGACAAUGUAGCGGGGCUCAAGCGCACCGCCGAAGCCGUGGCAGCAGCGCUUUUCGCCCUCCUCCCCCCUUUUGGACGGGGUGGUGGGUGCGCUGCUGGGUAGGGGAGCGUCCUGCGCGGGGCGAAGCCCGGGGGUGACCCCUGGUGGACCGCGUGGGAGUGAGAAUGCAGGCAUGAGUAACGAAUUCUGCGGUGGGAAUCCGCAGCGCCGAUUGACUAAGGGUUCCAGGGCCAGGUUCAUCCGCCCUGGGUUAGUCGGGUCCUAAGGCGAGGCCGACAGGCGUAGUCGAUGGUCGACCAGUUGAUAUUCUGGUACCGCGCGGCGACCGCCAGUGCCGAUACCGCUGUGCUAACCGCCCGCACCGCCCCUCCUGCGCCUUCGGGCGCGGGGGCGGGGGUGUCGCGGGGCCCCGGUGGUGGAGGCAAGCGUGUUGACAGGGGUGACGCAGGAAGGUAGCCGCAAUGCGCCGGUGGUUGUGCGUAUUCAAGGCUGUGGCCCGUCCCCCAGGCAAAUCCGGGGGGCAUGUGGGUGAGGGCUGAGGAGGGACACACGCGUGUGUGGACUUGUGGUGAUCCUAUGCUGCCGAGAAAAACCCCGACGUGAGGGCGCCGCGCGCCCGUACCCCAAACCGACUCAGGUGGUCAGGUAGAGCAUACCGAGGCGUUCGAGUGAAUCAUGGUUAAGGAACUCGGCAAAAUUCCUCCGUAACUUCGGGAUAAGGAGGACCCCUUGGCCUGCCCCCGCCGCGCGCGGGGGCGGGGCCGGGGGGUCGCAGAGAAUAGGGAGAAGCGACUGUUUAUCAAAAACACAGGUGCGUGCGAAGCCGCAAGGCGAUGUAUACGCACUGACGCCUGCCCGGUGCUGGAAGGUCAAGAGGAGCCCUCAGCCCCCCUGCGGGGGGCGAAGGGGCGAAUUCAAGCCCCAGUAAACGGCGGUGGUAACUAUAACCAUCCUAAGGUAGCGAAAUUCCUUGUCGGGUAAGUUCCGACCUGCACGAAUGGCGUAACGACUUCUCCGCUGUCUCAACCGUGAACUCGGUGAAAUUGCAGUACGAGUAAAGAUGCUCGUUUCGCGCAGAAGGACGGAAAGACCCCGGGACCUUUACUAUAGCUUGGUAUUGGUGUCCGCUUGUGCUUGUGUAGGAUAGGUGGGAGACUGUGAAGCGGCCGCGCCAGCGGUGGUGGAGUCGUCGUUGAAAUACCAUUCUGGUUCAAGCGGGCGCCUGAACCUGGGCCCGUGAUCCGGGCCGGGGACAGUGCCUGGUGGGUAGUUUAACUGGGGCGGUUGCCUCCUAAAAGGUAACGGAGGCGCUCAAAGGUCCCCUCAGCCUGGUUGGCAAUCAGGUGGCGAGUGCAAGUGCACAAGGGGGCUUGACUGUGAGACCGACGGGUCGAGCAGGUGCGAAAGCAGGAACUAGUGAUCC